UUUAAUUGAAGAGUUUGAUCAUGGCUCAGAUUGAACGCUGGCGGCAGGCCUAACACAUGCAAGUCGAGCGGCAGCGGGAGGAAGCUUGCUUCCUUG
RNAcentral lists this ribosomal RNA (96 nucleotides) under Arsenophonus sp. ENCA. Its description in RNAcentral is "partial 16S ribosomal RNA". It matches the Rfam family "Bacterial small subunit ribosomal RNA", at positions 1 to 90 of the family's 1533-position model. The record is from RNAcentral. Lineage: Bacteria; Pseudomonadati; Pseudomonadota; Gammaproteobacteria; Enterobacterales; Morganellaceae.